CAUAAUCACUUCUUUCUCUCUCACACUCCACUUUCUCUCUCAUUUCUCUCUACCUUCACCACUCCAUUUUCUCUCUUCCUCUCUCUAUACCCACGAAAUUUACAGAAAAUAAGUCCAAGAACACACCUCAAACUCAAAAUUUUCAUCAUCUAGUGGUGUUUAUUAAGGAAUCGAUGGUGGUACGAGUGGAGCAUAGUGAAGGCACCAUUUGCAUCAUCUCAAUGCAUAUUGAAUCAUCGAGUAAGUGGCACUUAGGGACACUUCACUUUUAGGAGCAUUCGCAUGUGUUGUAUUUCUAUUUUCAUUGUAAUUUCUUUUAAAAUUUGCUCAAACCCAUUGAAAAUUUGUAAUGAUUUUUAAUACUA
Molecule: non-coding RNA, 365 nt
Organism: Lactuca sativa (garden lettuce)
Lineage: Eukaryota; Viridiplantae; Streptophyta; Magnoliopsida; Asterales; Asteraceae
Source: RefSeq, a predicted model, not a curated record